GUGCUCACUUCGGCAGCACAUUUACUAAAAUCAGACUAAUGUAGAGAUGAUCAAGACCCAUGUGCAAGAAUGAUACAGAAAUUUGAGAAGCACUCCUUAUUUUU
Small nuclear RNA from Sorex araneus (European shrew), 104 nucleotides. NCBI's taxonomy places the organism in Eukaryota, Metazoa, Chordata, Mammalia, Eulipotyphla, Soricidae. The record is from Ensembl.